UGGGGAAUAUUGCACAAUGGGCGCAAGCCUGAUGCAGCGACGCCGCGUGAGGGAUGACGGCCUUCGGGUUGUAAACCUCUUUCGGCAGGGAAGAAGCGAAAGUGACGGUACCUGCGGAAGAAGCGCCGGCUAACUACGUGCCAGCAGCCGCGGUAAUACGUAGGGCGCAAGCGUUGUCCGGAAUUAUUGGGCGUAAAGAGCUCGUAGGCGGUUUGCCGCGUCUGCCGUGAAAGCCCGGGGCUCAACCCCGGGUCUGCGGUGGGUACGGGCAGACUGGAGUGCAGUAGGGGAGACCGGAAUUCCUGGUGUAGCGGUGAAAUGCGCAGAUAUCAGGAGGAACACCGAUGGCGAAGGCAGGUCUCUGGGCUGUAACUGACGCUGAGGAGCGAAAGCAUGGGGAGCGAACAG
RNAcentral lists this ribosomal RNA (408 nucleotides) under uncultured bacterium. RNAcentral's name for it is "bacterial SSU rRNA". It matches the Rfam family "Bacterial small subunit ribosomal RNA", at positions 355 to 775 of the family's 1533-position model. The record is from RNAcentral.